Molecule: ribosomal RNA, 301 nt
Filed under: uncultured bacterium
Lineage: Bacteria
Description: partial 16S ribosomal RNA
Rfam family: Bacterial small subunit ribosomal RNA
Source: RNAcentral
CAGUCGCCGCGGUAAUACGAAGGGGGCUAGCGUUGCUCGGAAUCACUGGGCGUAAAGGGUGCGUAGGCGGGUUUUUAAGUCAGAGGUGAAAUCUUAGAGCUCAACUCCAGAACUGCCUUUGAUACUGAAAGUCUUGAGUAUGGGAGAGGUGAGUGGAACUGCGAGUGUAGAGGUGAAAUUCGUAGAUAUUCGCAAGAACACCAGUGGCGAAGGCGGCUCACUGGCCCAUAACUGACGCUGAGGCACGAAAGCGUGGGGAGCAAACAGGAUUAGAUACCCGGGUAGUCCCUGUCUCUUAUAC